RNAcentral lists this ribosomal RNA (438 nucleotides) under uncultured bacterium. RNAcentral describes it as "partial 16S ribosomal RNA". It matches the Rfam family "Bacterial small subunit ribosomal RNA", at positions 28 to 507 of the family's 1533-position model. The record is from RNAcentral.
GACGAACGCUGGCGGCAUGCCUAACACAUGCAAGUCGAACGAGACCUUCGGGCCUAGUGGCGCACGGGUGCGUGACAAGGGGGAACCUGCCCUUGGGUUCGGUAUAACUCCCCGAGAGGGAUGCUAAUACCGCUUAAUCUCUUCCGGGCAAAGAUCUGUCGCUUUGUGGUGGGCGCGCGGUAGAUUCGGUAGUUGGUGGGGGAAAGGCUUACCAAGGCGACGAUCGGUAGCUGGUCUGUGAGGAGGACCGUCCACAUUGGAACUGGGAUACGGCACAGACCCCUACGGGCGGCAGCAGGGGGGAAUAUUGAACAUUGGGCGGAAGCCUGAUGCAGCAACGCCGAGUGCGGGAUGAGGGCCUUCGGGUUGAAGACCGCAUUCGCCUUUGACGAAGCGUGAGUGACGGUAAUGGGUAAAGAAGCACCGGCUAACUCCGUG